RNAcentral lists this long non-coding RNA (440 nucleotides) under Lupinus angustifolius (narrow-leaved blue lupine). RNAcentral describes it as "long non-coding RNA (LANG_LNC002174)". Lineage: Eukaryota; Viridiplantae; Streptophyta; Magnoliopsida; Fabales; Fabaceae. The record is from RNAcentral.
AACAAUCGAAAGUGAAAGUGGAUAACAGCAUAAACCUUUGACAACUCUCUUUUUCCCAUUUCCAAAACGCACCGUUUCAUUCAACGGGAACUUCCAUGAAAAACCCACCACCACGUUCCGCCGGAGUCUCGCCGGAGACCGACGACAUCAAAUGGGAAAUGCGGCAAGUAUGAGCUUUAUCUCCCAGAUCAAUCAACUUUAUGUGAGUCUCUUUUUCCUUCAAUUCAAUGUGUAUGUUGGUUAUUGAGUGAAUUUGAAACAUGGGUUAUGGUUUAAUUUUAUUGUUGUUGGAUUUGAAUUUUAGGUCUUUUGUGAUGCUGUGUGUGCUAAUUAGAAUAGUAAAGUUUUGAAAUUUAUGUAAUUGGGUGCUUUAUUAACGGUGAAUUUGAGCUUAAUUAAGCGCUUACUCAAUAAAAGAAGUUGAAAUGAGUUAAAAGUAA